This 1540-nucleotide ribosomal RNA is filed under the name Staphylococcus aureus. RNAcentral's name for it is "16S ribosomal RNA". It matches the Rfam family "Bacterial small subunit ribosomal RNA". Lineage: Bacteria; Bacillati; Bacillota; Bacilli; Caryophanales; Staphylococcaceae. The record is from RNAcentral.
AGAGUUUGAUCCUGGCUCAGGAUGAACGCUGGCGGCGUGCCUAAUACAUGCAAGUCGAGCGAACGGACGAGAAGCUUGCUUCUCUGAUGUUAGCGGCGGACGGGUGAGUAACACGUGGAUAACCUACCUAUAAGACUGGGAUAACUUCGGGAAACCGGAGCUAAUACCGGAUAAUAUUUUGAACCGCAUGGUUCAAAAGUGAAAGACGGUCUUGCUGUCACUUAUAGAUGGAUCCGCGCUGCAUUAGCUAGUUGGUAAGGUAACGGCUUACCAAGGCAACGAUGCAUAGCCGACCUGAGAGGGUGAUCGGCCACACUGGAACUGAGACACGGUCCAGACUCCUACGGGAGGCAGCAGUAGGGAAUCUUCCGCAAUGGGCGAAAGCCUGACGGAGCAACGCCGCGUGAGUGAUGAAGGUCUUCGGAUCGUAAAACUCUGUUAUUAGGGAAGAACAUAUGUGUAAGUAACUGUGCACAUCUUGACGGUACCUAAUCAGAAAGCCACGGCUAACUACGUGCCAGCAGCCGCGGUAAUACGUAGGUGGCAAGCGUUAUCCGGAAUUAUUGGGCGUAAAGCGCGCGUAGGCGGUUUUUUAAGUCUGAUGUGAAAGCCCACGGCUCAACCGUGGAGGGUCAUUGGAAACUGGAAAACUUGAGUGCAGAAGAGGAAAGUGGAAUUCCAUGUGUAGCGGUGAAAUGCGCAGAGAUAUGGAGGAACACCAGUGGCGAAGGCGACUUUCUGGUCUGUAACUGACGCUGAUGUGCGAAAGCGUGGGGAUCAAACAGGAUUAGAUACCCUGGUAGUCCACGCCGUAAACGAUGAGUGCUAAGUGUUAGGGGGUUUCCGCCCCUUAGUGCUGCAGCUAACGCAUUAAGCACUCCGCCUGGGGAGUACGACCGCAAGGUUGAAACUCAAAGGAAUUGACGGGGACCCGCACAAGCGGUGGAGCAUGUGGUUUAAUUCGAAGCAACGCGAAGAACCUUACCAAAUCUUGACAUCCUUUGACAACUCUAGAGAUAGAGCCUUCCCCUUCGGGGGACAAAGUGACAGGUGGUGCAUGGUUGUCGUCAGCUCGUGUCGUGAGAUGUUGGGUUAAGUCCCGCAACGAGCGCAACCCUUAAGCUUAGUUGCCAUCAUUAAGUUGGGCACUCUAAGUUGACUGCCGGUGACAAACCGGAGGAAGGUGGGGAUGACGUCAAAUCAUCAUGCCCCUUAUGAUUUGGGCUACACACGUGCUACAAUGGACAAUACAAAGGGCAGCGAAACCGCGAGGUCAAGCCAAUCCCAUAAAGUUGUUCUCAGUUCGGAUUGUAGUCUGCAACUCGACUACAUGAAGCUGGAAUCGCUAGUAAUCGUAGAUCAGCAUGCUACGGUGAAUACGUUCCCGGGUCUUGUACACACCGCCCGUCACACCACGAGAGUUUGUAACACCCGAAGCCGGUGGAGUAACCUUUUAGGAGCUAGCCGUCGAAGGUGGGACAAAUGAUUGGGGUGAAGUCGUAACAAGGUAGCCGUAUCGGAAGGUGCGGCUGGAUCACCU